UACAGAGGUCUCAAGCGUUGUUCGGAUUCAUUGGGCGUAAAGGGUGCGUAGGUGGCGGGGUAAGUCAGGUGUGAAAUUUCGGAGCUUAACUCCGAAACUGCAUUUGAUACUGCCUUGCUUGAGGACUGGAGAGGAGACUGGAAUUCACGGUGUAGCAGUGAAAUUCGUAGAUAUUCGGAAGAACACCAGUGGCGAAGGCGACUUACUGGACACAUAUUGACGCUGAGGUGCGAAAGCGUGGGGAGCAAACAGG
This 253-nucleotide ribosomal RNA is filed under the name uncultured bacterium. Its description in RNAcentral is "partial 16S ribosomal RNA". It matches the Rfam family "Bacterial small subunit ribosomal RNA", at positions 524 to 776 of the family's 1533-position model. The record is from RNAcentral.